This 558-nucleotide ribosomal RNA is filed under the name Chromis cinerascens. RNAcentral's name for it is "partial large subunit ribosomal RNA". It matches the Rfam family "Bacterial large subunit ribosomal RNA", at positions 1846 to 2596 of the family's 2925-position model. The record is from RNAcentral. Lineage: Eukaryota; Metazoa; Chordata; Actinopteri; Pomacentridae.
UAAGAGGUCCCGCCUGCCCUGUGACCAUGAGUUUAACGGCCGCGGUAUUUUGACCGUGCAAAGGUAGCGCAAUCACUUGUCUUUUAAAUGGAGACCUGUAUGAAUGGCACGACGAGGGCUUAACUGUCUCCUUUCCCCAGUCAAUGAAAUUGAUCUUCCCGUGCAGAAGCGGGAAUACCAUCAUAAGACGAGAAGACCCUGUGGAGCUUUAGACACUAAGCCAGACCAUGUCAAAUACCCCCCUAUAACGGGCUGAACCUAUUGGGCCCCUGUCCUAAUGUCUUUGGUUGGGGCGACCUCGGGGAAACAAAAAUCCCCCGCGUGGAACAGGAGUAUUACACUCCCAAAAUCUAGAGCCACAGCUCAAACUGACAGAAUUUCUGACCAAUAAAAGAUCCGGCCUUCCGCCGAUCAACGGACCGAGUUACCCCAGGGAUAACAGCGCAAUCCCCUUUUAGAGCCCAUAUCGACAAGGGGGUUUACGACCUCGAUGUUGGAUCAGGACAUCCUAAUGGUGCAACCGCUAUUAAGGGUUCGUUUGUUCAACGAUUAAAGUCC